RNAcentral lists this ribosomal RNA (120 nucleotides) under uncultured bacterium. Its description in RNAcentral is "partial 16S ribosomal RNA". It matches the Rfam family "Bacterial small subunit ribosomal RNA", at positions 215 to 334 of the family's 1533-position model. The record is from RNAcentral.
GCGGUGAAGGAUGAGCCCGCGGCCUAUCAGCUUGUUGGUGAGGUAGUGGCUCACCAAGGCGACGACGGGUAGCCGGCCUGAGAGGGCGACCGGCCACACUGGGACUGAGACACGGCCCAG